This is a non-coding RNA of Acanthosepion pharaonis, 113 nucleotides long. The record is from the annotation of a GenBank genome assembly. NCBI's taxonomy places the organism in Eukaryota, Metazoa, Mollusca, Cephalopoda, Sepiida, Sepiidae.
UUGCGGCCGUAUCACGUUAAAACACCGGUUCUCGUACGAUCACUGAAAUUAAGCAAUGUUGAACCUGGUUCGUAACUAGAUGGGUGACUGCUCUGGAAUCCCAGAUGCUGUAA